Molecule: ribosomal RNA, 453 nt
Filed under: uncultured bacterium
Lineage: Bacteria
Description: bacterial SSU rRNA
Rfam family: Bacterial small subunit ribosomal RNA
Source: RNAcentral
UUCGCAAUGCCCGAAAGGGUGAACGAGCGACGCCGCGUGCGGGAUGAAGGCCUUCGGGUUGUAAACCGCUUUUCUUAAGGAAGAACUUAAUGACGGUACUUAAGGAAUAAGAGGUUACUAACUCUGUGCCAGCAGUAGCGGUAAUACAGAGACCUCAAGCGUUAUCCGGAUUUAUUGGGCGUAAAGCGCGGGUAGGCGGGAAUAUUAGUCAGAUGUCAAAUCUUCGAGCUCAACUCGAAAACUGCAUUUGAAACGGUAUUCCUAGAGAGUGUGAGGGACCAGUGGAACUCAUGGUGUAGCAGUGAAAUGCGUUGAUAUCAUGGGGAACACCAAAGGCGAAGGCAUCUGGUUGGCACACUUCUGACGCUGAGCCGCGAAAGCGUGGGUAGCGAAUGGGAUUAGAUACCCCAGUAGUCCACGCCCUAAACGAUGGGCACUAAGUAGAGGGGUUUU